RNAcentral lists this ribosomal RNA (214 nucleotides) under uncultured Acholeplasma sp. Its description in RNAcentral is "partial 16S ribosomal RNA". It matches the Rfam family "Bacterial small subunit ribosomal RNA", at positions 1169 to 1382 of the family's 1533-position model. Lineage: Bacteria; Bacillati; Mycoplasmatota; Mollicutes; Acholeplasmatales; Acholeplasmataceae. The record is from RNAcentral.
AGAGGUGGGGAUGACGUCAAAUCAUCAUGCCCCUUAUGACCUGGGCUACAAACGUGAUACAAUGGCUGGAACAAAGGGAUGCGAAGCAGUGAUGUGGAGCGAAACCCAUAAAAACAGUCUCAGUUCGGAUUGAAGUCUGCAACUCGACUUCAUGAAGUCGGAAUCGCUAGUAAUCGCGGAUCAGAACGCCGCGGUGAAUACGUUCUCGGGGUUU